UAGUCUCUAAGGUGCCACAAGUACUCCUGUUCUAUAUUGUACUGUGGAUAUAAUCAAACCACUUUAGAAGUAGUCAGAUUUUUUUGGUCUCUGGGCAUAUUAAAGUUGUAAUCGACUGCUGAGCACUCUCCAAUUGACUCAGGUACUCCACUGGAGCAAGAAGUGUAGGUGGAGUCAAUGGGGAAGCACCAGAAGUUGACAUAUCACAAGUGAAGACACUGGGCCCGAUGCUGCAAGGUUCUGAGCAACCUCAAGUUCUGCAGAAGAAAAUGUACAUUGAGCAUGCCAAGUACUAUAGAAGUGCAACUCAACCAUCUUGUAAUACACAUUGAAGGGGACAACA
This is a long non-coding RNA of Trachemys scripta elegans, 343 nucleotides long. RefSeq lists it as uncharacterized. The transcript has 2 exons. The record is from RefSeq and is a predicted model, not a curated record. NCBI's taxonomy places the organism in Eukaryota, Metazoa, Chordata, Testudines, Emydidae.